AUGCUGCAAACAGUCAAAUCUGAACCUUGUCGCUCUUCUUUCCUUGUGGGCAGGAAGCAGACCAGCAACGUGUGUUGCGUGAUUCCACUGUGUUUUUUGCAUUUGACUGAUCCUUCAGUAGAGAAAGACUUCAACGAAAGAAAUCUGGGACAGAUUUGA
This 159-nucleotide ribosomal RNA is filed under the name Triticum aestivum (bread wheat). RNAcentral's name for it is "partial small subunit ribosomal RNA". Lineage: Eukaryota; Viridiplantae; Streptophyta; Magnoliopsida; Poales; Poaceae. The record is from RNAcentral.